GCUCAGGACGAACGCUGGCGGCGUGCCUAAUACAUGCAAGUCGAACGAACUCUGGUAUUGAUUGGUGCUUGCAUCAUGAUUUACAUUUGAGUGAGUGGCGAACUGGUGAGUAACACGUGGGAAACCUGCCCAGAAGCGGGGGAUAACACCUGGAAACAGAUGCUAAUACCGCAUAACAACUUGGACCGCAUGGUCCGAGUUUGAAAGAUGGCUUCGGCUAUCACUUUUGGAUGGUCCCGCGGCGUAUUAGCUAGAUGGUGGGGUAACGGCUCACCAUGGCAAUGAUACGUAGCCGACCUGAGAGGGUAAUCGGCCACAUUGGGACUGAGACACGGCCCAAACUCCUACGGGAGGCAGCAGUAGGGAAUCUUCCACAAUGGACGAAAGUCUGAUGGAGCAACGCCGCGUGAGUGAAGAAGGGUUUCGGCUCGUAAAACUCUGUUGUUAAAGAAGAACAUAUCUGAGAGUAACUGUUCAGGUAUUGACGGUAUUUAACCAGAAAGCCACGGCUAACUACGUGCCAGCAGCCGCGGUAAUACGUAGGUGGCAAGCGUUGUCCGGAUUUAUUGGGCGUAAAGCGAGCGCAGGCGGUUUUUUAAGUCUGAUGUGAAAGCCUUCGGCUCAACCGAAGAAGUGCAUCGGAAACUGGGAAACUUGAGUGCAGAAGAGGACAGUGGAACUCCAUGUGUAGCGGUGAAAUGCGUAGAUAUAUGGAAGAACACCAGUGGCGAAGGCGGCUGUCUGGUCUGUAACUGACGCUGAGGCUCGAAAGUAUGGGUAGCAAACAGGAUUAGAUACCCUGGUAGUCCAUACCGUAAACGAUGAAUGCUAAGUGUUGGAGGGUUUCCGCCCUUCAGUGCUGCAGCUAACGCAUUAAGCAUUCCGCCUGGGGAGUACGGCCGCAAGGCUGAAACUCAAAGGAAUUGACGGGGGCCCGCACAAGCGGUGGAGCAUGUGGUUUAAUUCGAAGCUACGCGAAGAACCUUACCAGGUCUUGACAUACUAUGCAAAUCUAAGAGAUUAGACGUUCCCUUCGGGGACAUGGAUACAGGUGGUGCAUGGUUGUCGUCAGCUCGUGUCGUGAGAUGUUGGGUUAAGUCCCGCAACGAGCGCAACCCUUAUUAUCAGUUGCCAGCAUUAAGUUGGGCACUCUGGUGAGACUGCCGGUGACAAACCGGAGGAAGGUGGGGAUGACGUCAAAUCAUCAUGCCCCUUAUGACCUGGGCUACACACGUGCUACAAUGGAUGGUACAACGAGUUGCGAACUCGCGAGAGUAAGCUAAUCUCUUAAAGCCAUUCUCAGUUCGGAUUGUAGGCUGCAACUCGCCUACAUGAAGUCGGAAUCGCUAGUAAUCGCGGAUCAGCAUGCCGCGGUGAAUACGUUCCCGGGCCUUGUACACACCGCCCGUCACACCAUGAGAGUUUGUAACACCCAAAGUCGGUGGGGUAACCUUUUAGGAACCAGCCGCCUAAGGUGGGACAGAUGAUUAGGGUGAAGUCGUA
Molecule: ribosomal RNA, 1503 nt
Filed under: Lactiplantibacillus plantarum
Lineage: Bacteria; Bacillati; Bacillota; Bacilli; Lactobacillales; Lactobacillaceae
Description: bacterial SSU rRNA
Rfam family: Bacterial small subunit ribosomal RNA
Source: RNAcentral